Molecule: ribosomal RNA, 460 nt
Filed under: uncultured bacterium
Lineage: Bacteria
Description: partial 16S ribosomal RNA
Rfam family: Bacterial small subunit ribosomal RNA
Source: RNAcentral
CCUACGGGAGGCAGCAGUGAGGAAUAUUGGUCAAUGGACGAGCGUCUGAACCAGCCAAGUCGCGUGAAGGAUGACUGCCCUAUGGGUUGUAAACUUCUUUUAUAAAGGAAUAAAACGAGGCACGUGUGCCUUUUUGCAUGUACUUUAUGAAUAAGGAUCGGCUAACUCCGUGCCAGCAGCCGCGGUAAUACGGAGGAUCCGAGCGUUAUCCGGAUUUGUUGGGUUUAAAGGGAGCGUAGAUGGGUUGUUAAGUCAGUUGUGAAAGUUUUCGGCUCAACCGUAAAAUUGCAAUUGAUACUGGCAGUCUUGAGUACAGUUGAGGUAGGCGGAAUGCGUGGUGUAGCGGUGAAAUGCUUAGAGAUCACGAAGAACCCCGAUUGCGAAGGCAGCUUACUAAACUGUGACUGACAUUGAUGCUCGAAAGUGUGGGUAUCAAACAGGAUUAGAUACCCGGGUAGUC